UGGGUCCACGCUGCUUUUAUGAGCUGUU
RNAcentral lists this non-coding RNA (28 nucleotides) under Homo sapiens (human). The record is from RNAcentral. Lineage: Eukaryota; Metazoa; Chordata; Mammalia; Primates; Hominidae.